UACGUAGGGUGCGAGCGUUGUCCGGAAUUAUUGGGCGUAAAGAGCUCGUAGGCGGUGUGUCACGUCGGCCGUGAAAACCUGCAGCUUAACUGUGGGCGUGCGGUCGAUACGGGCAUCACUUGAGUUCGGCAGGGGAGACUGGAAUUCCUGGUGUAGCGGUGAAAUGCGCAGAUAUCAGGAGGAACACCGGUGGCGAAGGCGGGUCUCUGGGCCACUACUGACGCUGAGAAGCGAAAGCAUGGGGAGCGAACAGG
RNAcentral lists this ribosomal RNA (254 nucleotides) under uncultured bacterium. RNAcentral's name for it is "partial 16S ribosomal RNA". It matches the Rfam family "Bacterial small subunit ribosomal RNA", at positions 524 to 776 of the family's 1533-position model. The record is from RNAcentral.